RNAcentral lists this ribosomal RNA (460 nucleotides) under uncultured bacterium. RNAcentral's name for it is "partial 16S ribosomal RNA". It matches the Rfam family "Bacterial small subunit ribosomal RNA", at positions 338 to 795 of the family's 1533-position model. The record is from RNAcentral.
CCUACGGGUGGCAGCAGUGAGGAAUAUUGGUCAAUGGACGAGAGUCUGAACCAGCCAAGUAGCGUGAAGGAUGACUGCCCUAUGGGUUGUAAACUUCUUUUAUAUGGGAAUAAAAUGUUCCACGUGUGGGAUUUUGUAUGUACCAUAUGAAUAAGGAUCGGCUAACUCCGUGCCAGCAGCCGCGGUAAUUCGGAGGAUCCGAGCGUUAUCCGGAUUUAUUGGGUUUAAAGGGAGCGUAGGUGGAUUGUUAAGUCAGGUGUGAAAGUUUGCGGCUAAACCGUAAAAUUGCAGUUGAAACUGGCAGUCUUGAGUACAGUAGAGGUGGGCGGAAUUCGUGGUGUAGCGGUGAAAUGCUUAGAUAUCACGAAGAACUCCGAUUGCGAAGGCAGUUCACUGGACUGCAACUGACACUGAGGCUCGAAAGUGUGGGUAUCAAACAGGAUUAGAUACCCCAGUAGUC